CUACGGGAGGCAGCAGUGAGGAAUAUUGGUCAAUGGGCGCGAGCCUGAACCAGCCAAGUAGCGUGGAGGACGACGGCCCUACGGGUUGUAAACUCCUUUUAUAAGGGGAUAAAGUUGGCCAUGUAUGGCCAUUUGCAGGUACCUUAUGAAUAAGCAUCGGCUAAUUCCGUGCCAGCAGCCGCGGUAAUACGGAAGAUGCGAGCGUUAUCCGGAUUUAUUGGGUUUAAAGGGAGCGUAGGCGGGCAGUCAAGUCAGCGGUCAAAUGGCGCGGCUCAACCGCGUUCCGCCGUUGAAACUGGCAGCCUUGAGUAUGCACAGGGUACAUGGAAUUCGUGGUGUAGCGGUGAAAUGCUUAGAUAUCACGAGGAACUCCGAUCGCGCAGGCAUUGUACCGGGGCAUUACUGACGCUGAGGCUCGAAGGUGCGGGUAUCAAACAGGAUUAGAUACCCUGGUAGUCCGCACAGUAAACGAUGAAUGCCCGCUGUCGGCGACAUAGUGUCGGCGGCCAAGCGAAAGCGUUAAGCAUUCCACCUGGGGAGUACGCCGGCAACGGUGAAACUCAAAGGAA
Molecule: ribosomal RNA, 569 nt
Filed under: uncultured bacterium
Lineage: Bacteria
Description: bacterial SSU rRNA
Rfam family: Bacterial small subunit ribosomal RNA
Source: RNAcentral